CAAUAGCGUAUAUUUAAGUUGUUGCAGUUAAAAAGCUCGUAGUUGGAUUUCGGAUGGGAUUUGCCGGUCCGUCGUUACGAUGUGCACUGGCCAGUCCUAUCUUGUUGUCGGGGACUAGCUCCGUGGAUUCACUUCCUGGGACUAGGAGCUGACGAGGUUACUUUGAGUAAAUUAGAGUGUUCAAAGCAAGCCUACGCUCUGAAUACAUUAGCAUGGAAUAACACGAUAGGACUCUGGCUUAUCUUGUUGGUCUGUGAGACCAGAGUAAUGAUUAAGAGGGACAGUCGGGGACAUUCGUAUUUCAUUGUCAGAGGUGAAAUUCUUGGAUUUAUGAAAGACGAACUUCUGCGAAAGCAUUUGUCAAGGAUGUUUUCAUUAA
This 379-nucleotide ribosomal RNA is filed under the name uncultured eukaryote. RNAcentral describes it as "partial 18S ribosomal RNA". It matches the Rfam family "Eukaryotic small subunit ribosomal RNA", at positions 592 to 976 of the family's 1831-position model. The record is from RNAcentral.